RNAcentral lists this ribosomal RNA (429 nucleotides) under Verrucomicrobiota bacterium. Its description in RNAcentral is "Verrucomicrobia bacterium partial 16S ribosomal RNA". It matches the Rfam family "Bacterial small subunit ribosomal RNA", at positions 355 to 776 of the family's 1533-position model. Lineage: Bacteria; Pseudomonadati; Verrucomicrobiota. The record is from RNAcentral.
UAGGGAAUCUUCCGCAAUGGACGAAAGUCUGACGGAGCAACGCCGCGGGAGUGAAGAAGGAUUUCGGUUCGUAAAACUCUGUUGUUAGGGAAGAAAAAAUGUAUAGUAACUAUAUACAAAAGAGACGGUACCUAACCAGAAAGCCACGGCUAACUACGUGCCAGCAGCCGCGGUAAUACGUAGGUGGCAAGCGUUGUCCGGAAUUAUUGGGCGUAAAGCGCGCGCAGGUGGUUUAGAAAGUCUGAUGUGAAAGCCCACGGCUCAACCGUGGAGGGUCAUUGGAAACUAAUAAACUUGAGUGCAGGAGAGAAAAGUGGAAUUCCUAGUGUAGCGGUGAAAUGCGUAGAGAUUAGGAGGAACACCGGUGGCGAAAGCGGCUUUUUGGCCUGCAACUGACACUGAGGCGCGAAAGCGUGGGGAGCAAACAGG